Molecule: ribosomal RNA, 301 nt
Filed under: uncultured bacterium
Lineage: Bacteria
Description: partial 16S ribosomal RNA
Rfam family: Bacterial small subunit ribosomal RNA
Source: RNAcentral
CAGUCGCCACGGUAAUACGUAGGGGGCAAGCGUUGUCCGGAAUCAUUGGGCGUAAAGAGCGUGUAGGCGGCUCGGUAAGUCCGCUGUGAAAGUCCAGGGCUCAACCCUGGAAUGCCGGUGGAAACUGUCGAGCUAGAGUCCGGAAGAGGCGAGUGGAAUUCCUGGUGUAGCGGUGAAAUGCGCAGAUAUCAGGAGGAACGCCAAUGGCGAAGGCAGCUCGCUGGGACGGUACUGACGCUGAGACGCGAAAGCGUGGGGAGCAAACAGGAUUAGAUACCCGAGUAGUCCCUGUCUCUUAUAC